UGUCAUCGUCAGCUGACUCGAGUUUGUUGUGAGAUGCUAAAUACUCAUAUGCAACUCCUCGUGACUUCAAUUGCAAGAAAAGGUUGCGACCGCGCGUACUUCACUGAUUGCAUGUGACACCUUCUACUUCGUGGUACGAAGAAAAUUUCGCAAACAAAGCAUCCCACUUUCAGCCCUUUGAAACCUUUCGGUGGAAAAAUAAUGCCUCGCCUGCUGUGUGGUGGAACCGCGCCUGCCAGGGAGGCGACGGACGACGUGCAGAAUGUGUGCGAUCAGGUGAAAGCGCGCGUCGAGCAAAUUGCAAACAAGCACUUCGACGAAUUCAAAGCGAUCACGUACCGACCGCAGACUGUGGCUGGGACCAACUACUUUGUUAAGGUUUCCACGGGCGAUGGGAGCUUUUUACAUCUGCGGAUUUACAAGAAUCUCCAGGGACAAGUUGAGCUGAGCGGAAUACAGCCCGACAAAGGUGAAGUGGAUGAGAUUGAAUACUUUGAGAAACAUCUUGAUUAAUAUAUCAGAUGUAGAGAAGGACUUUCCUGUUUGGUUCUUUUUCCAGUUUUUUUUUUUUUUACAGAGGUCUAACAUAAUAAUAUCUACAACUUUUCUUGCUAUGAAAAAUCAAGUUCUUUUUGUGCUUCGAAGUUUUAUUAAGGUGUAAAAUGGAAAAAAAUAGAACUGAAUAUUUCAUA
Molecule: long non-coding RNA, 692 nt
Organism: Neocloeon triangulifer
Lineage: Eukaryota; Metazoa; Arthropoda; Insecta; Ephemeroptera; Baetidae
Exons: 3
Source: RefSeq, a predicted model, not a curated record